UACGUAGGGUGCAAGCGUUGUCCGGAAUUAUUGGGCGUAAAGAGCUCGUAGGCGGUCUGUCGCGUCGGCUGUGAAAUCCCGGAGCUCAACUCCGGGUCUGCAGUCGAUACGGGCAAACUUGAGUACUGCAGGGGAGACUGGAAUUCCUGGUGUAGCGGUGAAAUGCGCAGAUAUCAGGAGGAACACCGGUGGCGAAGGCGGGUCUCUGGGCAGUAACUGACGCUGAGGAGCGAAAGCGUGGGGAGCAAACAGG
This 253-nucleotide ribosomal RNA is filed under the name uncultured bacterium. Its description in RNAcentral is "partial 16S ribosomal RNA". It matches the Rfam family "Bacterial small subunit ribosomal RNA", at positions 524 to 776 of the family's 1533-position model. The record is from RNAcentral.